Molecule: transfer RNA, 108 nt
Filed under: Echria macrotheca
Lineage: Eukaryota; Fungi; Ascomycota; Sordariomycetes; Sordariales; Schizotheciaceae
Description: tRNA-Ala
Rfam family: tRNA
About the family: Transfer RNA (tRNA) molecules are approximately 80 nucleotides in length. Their secondary structure includes four short double-helical elements and three loops (D, anti-codon, and T loops). Further hydrogen bonds mediate the characteristic L-shaped molecular structure. tRNAs have two regions of fundamental functional importance: the anti-codon, which is responsible for specific mRNA codon recognition, and the 3' end, to which the tRNAs corresponding amino acid is attached (by aminoacyl-tRNA synthetases). tRNAs cope with the degeneracy of the genetic code in two manners: having more than one tRNA (with a specific anti-codon) for a particular amino acid; and 'wobble' base-pairing, i.e. permitting non-standard base-pairing at the 3rd anti-codon position.
Source: RNAcentral
GGGCGGGUAGCGUAGUGGUCAACGCAUUCCUAAGCGUUUCAGCGUUUGUUUUCUUCAUUACUUUCUCAGCGUUUAGCGAAAACCUGGGUUCGAAUCCCAGCCCGCCCA